Mauremys reevesii (Reeves's turtle) is the source of this 915-nucleotide long non-coding RNA. RefSeq lists it as uncharacterized. The record is from RefSeq and is a predicted model, not a curated record. The transcript is spliced from 3 exons. Lineage: Eukaryota; Metazoa; Chordata; Testudines; Geoemydidae.
AGCAUCUUGCCUUGCUGAGGCAACUUCUGCUACCUGGCAAGGUAGAAUGGAUGUGGGUAGGGAGUGAACCAAGCCAUAGAGGAGGUGGAAGAAAGUCAUGUAAGGUUGCAAGCAAAGACUGAACAUCAGAAUGAGAGCUGGGGAGGGUUCCUGAAUUAAAUACAUGAUGCCCUUCCAAGAGUGUUUCCUGAUUAAAAGCUACUUCCAUGCAGCUAGAAAUGUGGCCUGGAGGGUAUCUCCAUCCACACCAGUGGAGUGGCUCAACCACAUAAGGAGGAGAAGGGAGAGGAUGUGGGAUGACAUGUUCCAAGAGAUCCUGGAAGCCUGUGGUGCUUCGGGUACUGAGCACGGGACUUGGAGGAUCCCCCUCGCAGACAGAAUGGACAGAGAUGGUGUGGAGAGGAGAAAGGCUCAGGAAAAGGAGAGGAGCAGGAGAUGCUGGAGCUUCUCAAGCAACAAACAGACAUGCUGGAGACUCUUGUUGACCUUCAGGUUCAGCAGACCUGUGCUUGCCUCCCGUUGCAGGCCAUAGAGAACGGCAUUCCAGAACCUCCCUACACUCCCACUCCCACCCUACAUUCUACGUGGCACCCGGGGCCAUUGCACUACCCCUACCACUUCCCCCGGGGGGAGAAUACAGACAGCCACAGCCACACAUACAUUGACCUAUGGGAAACAUGGUUGCUGUAUGUGUCUGUGAAAUGGAAAUGACUGUUCUUUCCCCAUCAAAGGUUCUUCCCCUGUAUUUAUAAAGUUUCAUUCAGUUAUAAAUGUGUCUCUUUUUUUUUCAUGGGUUCGGAAUAAAAAACUCUAUUUAGGGAAACUUAAGUCAUCUUUAUUAGUUCACAGCAUAUGCUGCCGGGGCUGACAUAAUUCAUAUUCAUGCAAUAGGUGCAUUUGCAAUGUUGUAUUACU